Monodelphis domestica (gray short-tailed opossum) is the source of this 649-nucleotide long non-coding RNA. RefSeq lists it as uncharacterized. NCBI's taxonomy places the organism in Eukaryota, Metazoa, Chordata, Mammalia, Didelphimorphia, Didelphidae. The record is from RefSeq and is a predicted model, not a curated record.
UCAGAGCAGCAGGAACAGGCAGGAACCCGGGUUCCCUUGGCAACGCAGACAAUGGCACCUUCUCAGUACAGGCUCCUGCUAAAAGCAUUAAGGGAAAGCAUUAGAGCCUGGACUGCCUUUUCUCUGGUCCCAGGGGUCCUUCCUCUGAAGCUCUGGUUCAUUCCAAAACACACACCACAGCUCCCAACCCCAAAUCACCCCUUUUUUUGGAGGGCUUUUAUGGAAGGAGGGGAAGGGAAGAAAAGGGAACUCCCAUUCCCAUCAGCUUCAAUGGAGGCGGGGUAAGAUGGGGAUGAAGCCUUGGGAUGAAGGAAGAGUUCACAGCCAACAACCAUUCCCAGUUCUCCAAAUUCCCCAAGGGAAAUCAGGGACCAUGGCGAGAGGCAGGCAUUCUUCCUAGAACUGCCCCUAUGGAGGCAGCCACAUCUCUACCUCAGGGUGGCACUUUAGACUUCAAAGAUCUGGUUCGGGAAUUAGAAGAUGUGGAUUCAAUAAUUCCUAGAUUUAGUGCCACAUCAAUCAAACUAGCAAGGGAUUAAUUCAUAGAACUGGAAAGAAUAAUAAUCAGAUUCACUUGGAGAAACAAAAGGUCAAGAAUGCCAAAAGAAAAUAAUGAAAAAAGAGAAAGAAUAAAAGGGGCCUGACAGCA